RNAcentral lists this ribosomal RNA (460 nucleotides) under uncultured bacterium. RNAcentral's name for it is "partial 16S ribosomal RNA". It matches the Rfam family "Bacterial small subunit ribosomal RNA", at positions 338 to 795 of the family's 1533-position model. The record is from RNAcentral.
CCUACGGGGUGCUGCAGUGAGGAAUAUUGGUCAAUGGACGAGAGUCUGAACCAGCCAAGUAGCGUGAAGGAUGACUGCCCUAUGGGUUGUAAACUUCUUUUAUAUGGGAAUAAAACGUUCCACGUGUGGGAUUUUGUAUGUACCAUAUGAAUAAGGAUCGGCUAACUCCGUGCCAGCAGCCGCGGUAAUACGGAGGGUCCGAGCGUUAUCCGGAUUUAUUGGGUUUAAAGGGAGCGUAGGUGGAUUGUUAAGUCAGUUGUGAAAGUUUGCGGCUCAACCGUAAAAUUGCAGUUGAAACUGGCAGUCUUGAGUACAGUAGAGGUGGGCGGAAUUCGUGGUGUAGCGGUGAAAUGCUUAGAUAUCACGAAGAACUCCGAUUGCGAAGGCAGUUCACUGGACUGCAACUGACACUGAGGCUCGAAAGUGUGGGUAUCAAACAGGAUUAGAUACCCCUGUAGUC